CAUUAUUUGCAUAAAAUUAAAUCAACAAACGUCCAAAUAUACUAAAUGUCCAUUAAGUCCAUGUAGAUGUUCAUAAUAUCUAUUAUGUACAUCAUUGUUGUCCAUAUACUGUGUUGUUGUCAUCUUCUAUGCGUUGUCAUCAUCGUCCGUAUGCUAUCGUCCAUUGUUUAUCGUCUCUGUCGGUUGGCCAUCCGACAGAGACGUUGCCUAACUGGUAACCAGCAGUCACGAGAAGAGUUGCAGUUAUUUAAGAAAACUAAGCAUUGGAUGCAGGAAGAAAAGCUCAUAGUUACUCGGGAGGA
Molecule: long non-coding RNA, 302 nt
Filed under: Androctonus crassicauda
Lineage: Eukaryota; Metazoa; Arthropoda; Arachnida; Scorpiones; Buthidae
Source: RNAcentral